CGACGACCGGCGGAUGGGUGCGUAACGCGUAUGCAACUUGCCUCACAGAGGAGAAUAACCCGGAGAAAUCCGGACUAAUGCUCCAUACACUCUCGGGGACACAUAUUCCUGGGAGGAAAGAUUUAUCGCUGUGAGAUAGGCAUGCGUCCUAUUAGGUAGUUGGUGAGGUAACGGCUCACCAAGCCAACGAUAGGUAGGGGUGCUGAGAGGCAGAUCCCCCACAUUGGGACUGAGACACGGCCCAAACUCC
Molecule: ribosomal RNA, 250 nt
Filed under: uncultured bacterium
Lineage: Bacteria
Description: partial 16S ribosomal RNA
Rfam family: Bacterial small subunit ribosomal RNA
Source: RNAcentral